GCUCAGGCUGCUUCGCCUCCGCUGGUUUCCUAUCGCCACCACGCACACACACACGCUCGCCUCAACUACUGAUAUUCGACGCUGGCUGGACAACAUUCUCUGCAACCCCGACGUCAUCGACCUGCUGCUAUUGUGUUUCUGUACUGGUAUAUGUGAGGAUUUGUGGCAGUAGAAAUGGCAUGGUGGCGGUGUACUAGUGCGGUGAUGGUUUGCUGGUGGUGGUGGUGUGUUGUUGCCACUGCAUCCCUGACUUCGACGCCGGCGGGACGGUGCUGCCGGCGCAACCUCGGCGUCGGCUCCUACAUCUCUUCUCUGCAAUGCAAUGUGAUCACUUAAACAAGAGGUGAUGAUCUUCAAAUUUAGUUUAGGAUUUGAUUCUCUUUUCUUAUACUUGUAAUUGUACUAUAUUAUUAUUCUUUAUUAUUUUUGUAAAGACUUUGUAUUAUUGUGUGAAUAUCAAUAAAGGAAUAUUUUUCC
Long non-coding RNA from Lolium perenne, 477 nucleotides. RefSeq lists it as uncharacterized. Lineage: Eukaryota; Viridiplantae; Streptophyta; Magnoliopsida; Poales; Poaceae. The record is from RefSeq and is a predicted model, not a curated record.